UACGUAGGGGGCAAGCGUUGUCCGGAAUCAUUGGGCGUAAAGAGCGUGUAGGCGGCCAGAUAAGUCCGCUGUGAAAUCUCGAGGCUCAACUUCGAGCUGUCGGUGGAAACUGUCUGGCUAGAGUCCGGAAGAGGAGAAUGGAAUUCCUGGUGUAGCGGUGAAAUGCGCAGAUAUCAGGAAGAACACCCGUGGCGAAGGCGGUUCUCUGGGACGGUAUUGACGCUGAGGCGCGAAAGCCAGGGGAGCAAACGGG
RNAcentral lists this ribosomal RNA (253 nucleotides) under uncultured bacterium. Its description in RNAcentral is "partial 16S ribosomal RNA". It matches the Rfam family "Bacterial small subunit ribosomal RNA", at positions 524 to 776 of the family's 1533-position model. The record is from RNAcentral.